GAUUGAACGCUGGCGGCAGGCCUAACACAUGCAAGUCGAGCGGUAGAGAGAAGCUUGCUUCUCUUGAGAGCGGCGGACGGGUGAGUAAUGCCUAGGAAUCUGCCUGGUAGUGGGGGAUAACGUUCGGAAACGGACGCUAAUACCGCAUACGUCCUACGGGAGAAAGCAGGGGACCUUCGGGCCUUGCGCUAUCAGAUGAGCCUAGGUCGGAUUAGCUAGUUGGUGAGGUAAUGGCUCACCAAGGCGACGAUCCGUAACUGGUCUGAGAGGAUGAUCAGUCACACUGGAACUGAGACACGGUCCAGACUCCUACGGGAGGCAGCAGUGGGGAAUAUUGGACAAUGGGCGAAAGCCUGAUCCAGCCAUGCCGCGUGUGUGAAGAAGGUCUUCGGAUUGUAAAGCACUUUAAGUUGGGAGGAAGGGCAGUUACCUAAUACGUGAUUGUUUUGACGUUACCGACAGAAUAAGCACCGGCUAACUCU
Molecule: ribosomal RNA, 482 nt
Filed under: Pseudomonas sp. SC33
Lineage: Bacteria; Pseudomonadati; Pseudomonadota; Gammaproteobacteria; Pseudomonadales; Pseudomonadaceae
Also listed under: 2 other names
Description: bacterial SSU rRNA
Rfam family: Bacterial small subunit ribosomal RNA
Source: RNAcentral